UUAGUAGUCAUACGCUCGUCUCAAGAUUAAGCCAUGCAUGUGUAAGCGUAAAUAUCAAAGUUUGGAACUGCGAAUGGCUCAUUAUAUCAGUUAUAGUUUAUUUGGUGAAGUGUACUACUUGGAUAACCGUAGUAAUUCUAGGGCUAAUACAUGAGAAAGUCCUCUGGUGAGGUGUGUUUAUUAGAAUGAAAACCAUAUGCUUCGGCAUGAUAGUGAGUAAUAGUAACCUAUCGUAUCGCAUGCUUAAUGUAGCGAUGAGUCUUUCAAGUUUCUGCCCUAUCAGCUUUCGAUGGUAGUAUAUGGGCCUACCAUGGCAGUAACGGGUAACGAAGAA
Molecule: ribosomal RNA, 334 nt
Filed under: Blastocystis sp.
Lineage: Eukaryota; Bigyra; Opalinata; Blastocystidae
Description: SSU rRNA
Rfam family: Eukaryotic small subunit ribosomal RNA
Source: RNAcentral